This 235-nucleotide ribosomal RNA is filed under the name uncultured bacterium. RNAcentral describes it as "partial 16S ribosomal RNA". It matches the Rfam family "Bacterial small subunit ribosomal RNA", at positions 524 to 756 of the family's 1533-position model. The record is from RNAcentral.
UACGAGGGGGGCGAGCGUUGUUCGGAAUUAUUGGGCGUAAAGGGCGCGUAGGCGGUGCGGUUAAGUCACCUGUGAAACCCCCGGGCUCAACUCGGGGCCUGCAGGCGAAACUGCCGUGCUGGAGUGCGGAAGAGGUGAGUGGAAUUCCCGGUGUAGCGGUGAAAUGCGUAGAUAGUCGGGAGGAACACCUGUGGCGAAAGCGGCUCACUGGACCGCAACUGACGCUGAGGCGCGA